UGAUUAAAUUAUUUACAUCACAAAAUUUUCUUUAAACUAUAAAAAUUUCACAUUCAUUUAUUCCAAAUAGAGGGAUACAGAAACCAAGUACGUAAAUAUAAACUUGAUAUAAUAGACAAUAUAUAGGGCUUUAUAUAUUUGAUUACAUUGCGAAAGUUUGUAUAUUAUAUAGCAACAAGUUUUCAGAAUUCAACGUGGAUGCGUGGUGCUAUAUGGAUCUUAUGCAGCGUUGAAAGUAUUGUGUGGACUGAAACGUGCUAUCGGAACACACACAAGUUCAUGGGCUAAUGGAGCUGUGAUUC
RNAcentral lists this unclassified non-coding RNA (302 nucleotides) under Hevea brasiliensis (rubber tree). Lineage: Eukaryota; Viridiplantae; Streptophyta; Magnoliopsida; Malpighiales; Euphorbiaceae. The record is from RNAcentral.